UUAGAGUUUGAUCCUGGCUCAAGACGAACGCUGGCGGCGUGCCUAACACAUGCAAGUCGAGCGAAUGAAGUUCCUUCGGGAACGGAUUUAGCGGCGGACGGGUGAGUAACACGUGGGCAACCUGCCUCAUAGAGGGGAAUAGCCUUCCGAAAGGGAGAUUAAUACCGCAUAAGAUUGUAGUACCGCAUGGUACAGCAAUUAAAGGAGCAAUCCGCUAUGAGAUGGGCCCGCGGCGCAUUAGCUAGUUGGUGAGGUAACGGCUCACCAAGGCGACGAUGCGUAGCCGACCUGAGAGGGUGAUCGGCCACAUUGGGACUGAGAUACGGCCCAGACUCCUACGGGAGGCAGCAGUGGGGAAUAUUGCACAAUGGACGCAAGUCUGAUGCAGCGACGCCGCGUGGGGGAUGAAGGCUUUCGGGUUGUAAACUCCUUUCAGUACAGAAGAAGCGAAAGUGACGGUAUGUGCAGAAGAAGCACCGGCUAACUACGUGCCAGCAGCCGCGGUAAUACGUAGGGUGCGAGCGUUGUCCGGAAUUAUUGGGCGUAAAGAGCUCGUAGGCGGUUUGUUGCGCCUGCUGUGAAAACCUGGGGCUUAACUUCGGGAUUGCAGUGGGUACGGGCAGACUAGAGUGUGGUAGGGGUAAUUGGAAUUCCUGGUGUAGCGGUGGAAUGCGCAGAUAUCAGGAGGAACACCGAUGGCGAAGGCAGGUUACUGGGCCACCACUGACGCUGAGGAGCGAAAGCGUGGGUAGCGAACAGGAUUAGAUACCCUGGUAGUCCACGCCGUAAACGAUGAGUGCUAAGUAUCGGAGGAUUCGGUGCUUAAGCUAACGCAGUAAGCACUCCGCCUGGGGAGUACGGUCGCAAGACUGAAACUCAAAGGAAUUGACGGGGACUCGCACAAGCGGUGGAGCAUGCGGUUUAAUUCGAUGCAACGCGAAGAACCUUACCAGGUCUUGACA
Molecule: ribosomal RNA, 962 nt
Filed under: uncultured bacterium
Lineage: Bacteria
Description: bacterial SSU rRNA
Rfam family: Bacterial small subunit ribosomal RNA
Source: RNAcentral